CCAAUAGCGUAUAUUAAAGUUGUUGCAGUUAAAAAGCUCGUAGUUGAACUUCGGGGUUUACCCAUUGGUCAGGCUUAAUUGUCUGUACUGGUGAGAUGAAUCUCUACCUUCUGAGGAACUUUCAUGCCAUUUAUUUGGUGUGAUGGGAAAUCAGGACUGUUACUUUGAAAAAAUUAGAGUGUUUAAAGCAGGCUAACGUCUGAAUACAUUAGCAUGGAAUAAUGAAAUAGGACGGACUGAUUCUAUUUCGUUGGUUUCUAGGAUCACCGUAAUGACUAAUAGGGAUAGUUGGGGGCAUUAGUAUUCAAUUGUCAGAGGUGAAAUUCUUGGAUUUAUUGAAGACUAACUACUGCGAAAGCAUUUGCCAAGGAUGUUUUCAUUAAUCAAGAACGAAAGUUAGGGGAUCGAAGACGAUCAGAUACCGUCGUAGUCUUAACCAUAAACUAUGCCGACUAGGGAUCGGACGAAGUUAAUUUUAUAAUGACGCGUUCGGCACCUUACG
This 502-nucleotide ribosomal RNA is filed under the name uncultured Glomeromycotina. Its description in RNAcentral is "partial small subunit ribosomal RNA". It matches the Rfam family "Eukaryotic small subunit ribosomal RNA", at positions 591 to 1092 of the family's 1831-position model. Lineage: Eukaryota; Fungi; Glomeromycota. The record is from RNAcentral.